UUCUGGAGAGGAAAACAAGUCUAAACUUACUUUCCAGUUGGAAAUGGAAUGGAGAGUUAACGUUGGAAGCCGGGAGAGUCUGUCCUGUGAUGAAGCGGUCUCCGAGCCACUUCCACUGGGACGUCACGUCACUGUCUGGGCCCCUUGCACAGCCUGUGCACAGCAUUCCUAGGAGAGAAUUCAGCAGUGCAGCAUCCUCUCCGAGCUCUAUGAGUUGAUCGGCUUCCACUGCAAGUCCGUCUUCUUCAAGCGGGUGGCCCCGGUGCAGCGCGCGGCCCCCGGCAUCCCGGAGCCUGGCGGGAAGGCCUGCUCCCGACUCCUUCUGCAGACGCUUCCUGGCUGCAGUCUGUCGCUGUUUCCGCAGGACUUCAGCAAAGGUGUUGGAACUAAAACAUCGCAUCAGUCCCAUUAACCAUGCCUGGUUUGGGCCCUGCUGUCCUGUCUCAUCAGGGUGAAUUCUGAUUCGUUUAGAACAGGGCUCAGCAGACUUUUUCUGUCAAGGGCUUGGGAGUAAAUAUUUCAGGGUCUGCAAACCUCCUGAUCUCUGGUGCAGCUGCUCAGCUCUGCUGUUCAGACGCCAAAGCAGCCGGACAGUCCACACACCCUCAGAGCUUUAUUAACAGUGGUGGCUGGGGCUGGAUUCGGUGUAUGAACAGCAGCUGGUCCCCACAGCCUGCUCACUAUUGACUCCUGCACCAGAGCGUGCAUUUGCGACAAUGGGUGAACCUACACUGACACGUCAUCAUCACCCAGAGCCCAUACUUGACACUAGGAUUUACACUUGGUGGUGUGCACUCUGUGGGUUUGGACAGAUGUACAAUGACACGUAUCCACCAUCACAGCAUCAUACAGAGUAGUCUGUGCUAGUGACCCUAAAAAUGCUCCGUGCUGCACCUCAUUAACUGCUCCUUCCCCUCUAGACUCUUACAACCACUGAUCUUUUAGUCUCUGUGGUUUUCCCUUUCCCAGAACACCAUACAGUUGGAAUCAGACAGUUGCAGAACUUUCCCAGAUUGGCUUCUUUCACUUAGUAAUAUGCAUUUAAGGUUCCUCCAUGUCUUUCCAUGCCUUGAUAACUCAUUUCAUUUUAGCACCAAAUAAUAGUCCAUUUUCUGGCUGGACCACAGUUUAUCCAUUCACCUACUGAAGAACAGCUUAGUUGCUUUUGAGUUCUGGUGAUUAUGAAUAAAGCUGCUAUUAACAUCUGUAUGCAGUUUUGUGUGUGGACAUAAGUUUCCAUUUCGUCGAGUAAACACCAAGGAGCACAGUUGCCGGAUCAUAUGUUAGAAGUACGUCUAGUUUUGUAAAAAACUGCCAGACUGUCUUCCAAAGUAUCUGGGCCAUUUUACAUUCCCACCAGCAAUGCAUGAGAAUUCCUGACGCUCCACAUCCUCACCAGCAUUCGGUGCUGUAAGUGUUCUGCGUUUUGGCAGUUCUGACAGGUGUGCAGUGGUACCUCGCUGUUUCAGUCUGCAGCCCCUUGAUGAUAGAUGCUGUGGAGCAUGUUUCCAUAGACUUCUUUGGCAUCUAGAUCUCUUCUUUGAUGAGGUGUGUGUUCAGGCAUUUUGCUCAUUUUUUAAUCAGGUUAUUCAUCCUUCUUGUUGAGCUUAAAGAAAUUUUGGUAUAUUCUGGAUAUCAGCCCUUUAUCAGUGUGUCCCUGCCCUUCACCUGCAGCACCAGAGUUGUCCUUUGGGUCUCAGUGGAGUGUCAGCUCUUCAAAGAGGUUCCCAGUCUUCCCUCAGCCUAAAUACUGUCCUUGUAUUUUUCACUUUCAUUGACUCAUUUUGUUCUUUUUAAAUAGCAUUUCCCAUAAUUUGUAAGUACAUUAAAAAAAGGGCAAUGAUUGAACACCGCCUCCCCCACCAGGCUGUGUGUCCUGUGAGAGCAGAGGCCCUGUCACCACUCAUCGUUUCCCAUGACAGCACAUGGCACAUGUCCAUGUAAAAGUGCAUAAUGUGGGGCCAAACCUGAUGAGCAGCUAUGACGACAUGUGUUGGCUACCAUUUAUUGAGUAGACUUUGUUUCUGAUCUUAAUUAUUAAAUCACAUGAAUGAAACUUGUUUGUUUUGAAAAAUAAAACAACAAAGCACACCUCCGUUUGAUUGGUACUUUCUACUUAGCCUUCUGACCCAGGAGGGGAUGUUCACCAUCAUUUUGUGGAGGAGGUUGGGGAGGUAAAGUAAGAGAGUGAGAUCAAAUAAAGUAAAAAUGAUAACUAUCAGUUGGCUUUAUUUUCACUAAGACAUAAAAGUUACUUUAAACCCUA
Long non-coding RNA from Camelus dromedarius (Arabian camel), 2266 nucleotides. RefSeq lists it as uncharacterized. Lineage: Eukaryota; Metazoa; Chordata; Mammalia; Artiodactyla; Camelidae. The transcript has 2 exons. The record is from RefSeq and is a predicted model, not a curated record.